AAUAUUGGACAAUGGGCGAAAGCCUGAUCCAGCCAUUCCGCGUGUGCGAUGAAGGCCUUCGGGUUGUAAAGCACUUUUGGCAGGAAAGAAAUCGCACGGGCCAAUACCCUGUGUGGAUGACGGUACCUGCAGAAUAAGCACCGGCUAACUACGUGCCAGCAGCCGCGGUAAUACGUAGGGUGCAAGCGUUAAUCGGAAUUACUGGGCGUAAAGCGUGCGCAGGCGGUUCGGAAAGAAAGAUGUGAAAUCCCAGGGCUCAACCUUGGAACUGCAUUUUUAACUACCGGGCUAGAGUGUGUCAGAGGGGGGUGGAAUUCCGCGUGUAGCAGUGAAAUGCGUAGAGAUGCGGAGGAACACCGAUGGCGAAGGCAGCCCCCUGGGAUAACACUGACGCUCAGGCACGAAAGCGUGGGUAGCAAACAG
Molecule: ribosomal RNA, 423 nt
Filed under: uncultured bacterium
Lineage: Bacteria
Description: partial 16S ribosomal RNA
Rfam family: Bacterial small subunit ribosomal RNA
Source: RNAcentral